Molecule: long non-coding RNA, 1593 nt
Organism: Oncorhynchus tshawytscha (Chinook salmon)
Lineage: Eukaryota; Metazoa; Chordata; Actinopteri; Salmoniformes; Salmonidae
Source: Ensembl
GAUAUUGCCAACUUCUGUAAUGAUUUUUUUAUUGGCAAGAUUAGCAAAUUUAGGCAUAACAUGCAAACAACAAACGCUGACACUACACAUCCAAGUAUAUCUGACCAAAUUAUGAAAGACAAGCAUCGACAUUUUGAAUUCCGUAAAGUGAGUGUGGAAGAGGUGAAAAAAAUUGUCUAUCAAAGAAUGACAAGCCAACGAGGGUUUGACAACCUGGAUGGAAAAUGACUGAGGAUAAUAGCGGAUGAUAUUGCCACAUCUUCAAUUUAAGCCUACAGGAAAGGGUUCCUCAGGCCUGGAGGGAAGCUAAAGCCAUUCCCCUACUGAAGAAUAGUUAAAGCCCCCUUAACUGGCUCAAAUGGCCUGACCAAUCAGCCUGUUACCAACCCUUAGCAAACUUCUGGAAAACGUUGUGUUUGACCAGAUACAAUGCUAUACACGUCAGCUACCACAGCGACUGAAAUGACAGCAAUGUUUAACAAAGAGCUGCAGUUACUUUCAGAAUGGGUGGCAAGGAAUAAGUUAGUCCUAAAUAUUUACAAAAAUAAAAGCAUUGUAUUUGGGACAAAUCAUUUACUAAACCUUAAACCUCAACUAAAUCUCAUUAUGAAUAAUGUGGAAAUUGAGCAAGUUGAGGUGACUAAACCUGCUUGGUGUAACCCUGGAUUGUAAACUGUCAUGGUCAAAACAUAUUGAUACGACAGUAGCUAAGAUGGGGAGAAGUCUGUCCAUAAUAAAGUGAUGCUCUACCUUCUUAACAACACUAUCAACAAGGCAGGUCCUACAGGCCCUAGUUUCUGCCUUCUUAACAACACUAUCACCAAGGCACGUCCUACAGGCCCUAGUUUCUACCUUCUUAACAACACUAUCACCAAGGCAGGUCCUACAGGUCCUAGUUUCUGCCUUCUUAACAACACUAUCAACAAGGCAGGUCCUACAGGCCCUAGUUGUGUCGCACCUGGACUACAGGUGUCCCAAGCUUGUAGCGUCAUACCAAAGAAGACUCAAGGCUGUAAUCGCUGACAAAGGUGCUUCAACAAAGUACUGAGUAAAGGGUCUGAAUACAUAUGUGAAUGUUAUAUUGCAGUUAUUAUUAUUAUUAUUAUUAUUUUUUAAUUCAAAAAAAUAAUUAUACAAAUCUGUCAUUAUGGGGUAUUGUGUGUAGAUUGAUGAGUUAAAAAAAUAUUGAAUCAAUUUUAGAAUAAGGCUGUAACGUAACAAACUGUGAAGAAAGUGAAGGGGUCUGAAUACUUCCCCUUCGCCGGGCAGGCGGGCUUGGAUAAAUUAGCAAAAUUAGGAUAUGCCCACGUCACCAUUACACCCCUGGUUGUUGCUGACAGAUCAGUCACCGGCUGGCUCCACAUGAUUUGUCAAAUAAAUAAAUAAAUAAAUAAAACUAAAAGUUAGAGUGAAGCAACAAUUACCUUUUUAUUUCAGUAACAAAACAAAAGAUCAAAUGUGUUUUUAACAGUGUCACAACAAUGUACCACAUGAAAUCUGGAGCUCCCUUUUAUGAAAGACUGCACAGCGAUCACUGGACAUCUGGAGCUCCCUUUUAUGAAAGACUGCACAGCGAUCACUGGACAUCUGGAG